This 1590-nucleotide ribosomal RNA is filed under the name Rostratula benghalensis (greater painted-snipe). RNAcentral's name for it is "16S ribosomal RNA". It matches the Rfam family "Bacterial large subunit ribosomal RNA". The record is from RNAcentral. Lineage: Eukaryota; Metazoa; Chordata; Aves; Charadriiformes; Rostratulidae.
AAACCUACCCUAGCCCACUCAUACUACCCACUCCCACAACUAACAAACCUACUUCCUAAACUUAAACUAAACCAUUCUUCCAACUUAGUAUAGGCGAUAGAAAAGAUACCUUGGCGCGAUAGAAAUUUUGUACCGUAAGGGAAAGAUGAAAUAAUAAUGAAAAACAAAGCAGUAAAAAGCAAAGAUAAACCCUUGUACCUUUUGCAUCAUGAUUUAGCAAGAACAACCAAGCAAAGCGAACUUAAGGCUUGCCCUCCCGAAACUCAAGCGAGCUACUUGCAAGCAGCUAUCAAUGAGCGAACCCGUCUCUGUUGCAAAAGAGUGGGAUGACUUGCAAGUAGAGGUGAAAAGCCAACCGAGCUGAGUGAUAGCUGGUUGCCUGUAAAAUGAAUCUAAGUUCCCUCUUGACUUCUCCCCCAGGACACCUACAACCCUAAUGAAGAAAGUCAAGAGUAAUUUAAAGGAGGUACAGCUCCUUUAAAAAAGGAAACAACCUCCAUUAGCGGAUAACCACCACCCACCCCAGAACUGUGGGCCUUCAAGCAGCCAUCACUAAAGAGUGCGUCACAGCUCCUUACCUAAAAAUCCAACAAUUUCAAUCGACUCCCUUAAUCCAUAACAGGCUAACCUAUAAUUAUAGGAGAAUUAAUGCUAGAAUGAGUAACUAGGGCUUACCCUCUUAAGCGCAAACUUACAUCACUAUUAACAGACCAAACUAAUACUUCAACUCAAACAAGAUUAAAAUAUUCACCUACCCUGUUACCCCAACUCCGGAGCGCAGACUAGAAAGAUUAAAAUCUGUAAAAGGAACUAGGCAAACACAAGGCCCGACUGUUUACCAAAAACAUAGCCUUCAGCCCAUCCAAGUAUUGAAGGUGAUGCCUGCCCAGUGACAUUACGUUUAACGGCCGCGGUAUCCUAACCGUGCGAAGGUAGCGCAAUCAAUUGUCCCAUAAAUCGAGACUUGUAUGAAUGGCUAAACGAGGUCUUAACUGUCUCCUACAGAUAAUCAGUGAAAUUGAUCUUCCUGUGCAAAAGCAGGAAUAAGUUCAUAAGACGAGAAGACCCUGUGGAACUUAAAAAUCAGUGACCACCACACACAUGUACAAACCUACCAGGCUCACUAUGCACUUAAAUGCUGGCCCACAUUUUUUGGUUGGGGCGACCUUGGAGAAAAACAAAUCCUCCAAAAAUAAGACCACACCUCUUGACCAAGAGCAACCCCUCAACGUACUAACAGUAACCAGACCCAAUAUAAUUGAUUAAUGGACCAAGCUACCCCAGGGAUAACAGCGCAAUCCCCUCUAAGAGCUCACAUCGACGAGGGGGUUUACGACCUCGAUGUUGGAUCAGGACAUCCUAAUGGUGCAGCCGCUAUUAAGGGUUCGUUUGUUCAACGAUUAAUAGUCCUACGUGAUCUGAGUUCAGACCGGAGCAAUCCAGGUCGGUUUCUAUCUAUGACUGAACUUUCCCUAGUACGAAAGGACCGGGAAAGUAGGGCCAAUACUACAAGCACGCCCUCCUCCUAAGUAAUGAACCCCACUAAAUUACUAAGAGACUCUAACAUUACACAAUCCUAGAAAAGGCCCG